This is an RNA transcript of Fragaria vesca subsp. vesca, 1205 nucleotides long. RefSeq lists it as uncharacterized. NCBI's taxonomy places the organism in Eukaryota, Viridiplantae, Streptophyta, Magnoliopsida, Rosales, Rosaceae. The transcript is spliced from 2 exons. The record is from RefSeq and is a predicted model, not a curated record.
GCGGUCCACAAUCAUUUAACACGGAUGUUGUUCAACAUAGUAGAACAACUAUUAAUGUACAAUGAUAGUUAGAACUUGCACUACUACUGAAAUCACAAUUGUAUUGUACUGGAUUAACUGGCAUGUAGUUGGUUCUCAGUAUCUUUACUGGAUUAGCUAGCAUGAAACCUCCGGGAUCAUUGUGUGUUUUUUAUACAAUGCUAAUAACUCCAUCAACUUGUUUUCAUCUGCCAUAGUUUUGUGUUCUUCACCAAUAUUAAGGCCUUUUUAAUGAGUUCAAAACUUCUAGUUCAAUGAUGUGCUGAAAUUAGGGUAUCUCUUCAUGCUGAGAACAUCACAUCAGUAAACAGAUAGGUCUUGCUCUCUUUAUAAACUAGAAUUAUACCCGCGUCUUGGCGCGGUGUAUACAUUUUGGAUACGGGUGAAUUAUCGAGAAUUUAAUCAAAAAUAAAGAAUUCUUAUUUUCUUAGGAUUGUUUUCUCUUGUUUGGAUACUUAUCUCGUGGAAUUAGCAAUUUUCACGGGAAAAUAAUCGUGGAAUUUAGGAGUUUAAAUUCUCGACUUAAAUUUUUCACAAAAUAAGUGUCAUUUGUUAAUUCCCGUAAUUAAGGUUAGUAUGAAUACAAAUUCUUGUACAAACAAAAAAAUUCUCAAUUAAUGGGAUUUAAAUUCAUAGAAUUGUAAUUCUCAUGAUUUUGAAAUUUCUAUGAACAUUAAAAUUAUUUUAUCUAAAAACAACGUUAUGAAGCUGGUCAAUGGGUUAAUUGAUUGAUGAAAAUGUUUCUGAUAUGUAUUUUAUAGAAUGUUAUACAUGUAAAUUAUACUUGUUUGUUAUACUGAUUAUAUAUUUAGGGUUAAUGACAAUAAUGUGGUUUUCUAAAAAUAACAGGGGCAAAAUGGUAAUUACACUGUUCAUAAACACUGUUCACAGUCGACCAAACUUUGUUAUAUAGGUAAAUAUAUAGGAAUGAGAUGAUGUAAAAAUGUCUGAUUUAGUGUGGUAAUACUGUCCUCCGAGUAUGCUGACAACUCAUGUGCAGGCGAAUGCACAUCAGGUGUGGAAGAUGUCCAAGUGGAAGGUAAAUGGAAGGCAGUCACAUGAUGAUGUAAUAGAUUUCCUCAGAGGGGCUCCUGUUCCUGUCCAACAGGAUGCAUGAUUACUCCUCUCACUGUGGUGACAUUGUGCAUGAAUUUGUUGUUUCAUGA